RNAcentral lists this ribosomal RNA (549 nucleotides) under uncultured bacterium. RNAcentral's name for it is "bacterial SSU rRNA". It matches the Rfam family "Bacterial small subunit ribosomal RNA", at positions 355 to 895 of the family's 1533-position model. The record is from RNAcentral.
UAGGGAAUCUUCGGCAAUGGACGGAAGUCUGACCGAGCAACGCCGCGUGAGUGAAGAAGGUUUUCGGAUCGUAAAGCUCUGUUGUAAGAGAAGAACGAGUGUGAGAGUGGAAAGUUCACACUGUGACGGUAUCUUACCAGAAAGGGACGGCUAACUACGUGCCAGCAGCCGCGGUAAUACGUAGGUCCCGAGCGUUGUCCGGAUUUAUUGGGCGUAAAGCGAGCGCAGGCGGUUAGAUAAGUCUGAAGUUAAAGGCUGUGGCUUAACCAUAGUAGGCUUUGGAAACUGUUUAACUUGAGUGCAAGAGGGGAGAGUGGAAUUCCAUGUGUAGCGGUGAAAUGCGUAGAUAUAUGGAGGAACACCGGUGGCGAAAGCGGCUCUCUGGCUUGUAACUGACGCUGAGGCUCGAAAGCGUGGGGAGCAAACAGGAUUAGAUACCCUGGUAGUCCACGCUGUGAACGAUGAGUGCUAGGUGUUAGACCCUUUCCGGGGUUUAGUGCCGUAGCUAACGCAUUAAGCACUCCGCCUGGGGAGUACGACCGCAAGGUU